GCCUCAGUAACGGCGAGUGAAGCGGCAACAGCUCAAAUUUGAAAUCUGGCCUCUUUGGGGUCCGAGUUGUAAUUUGUAGAGGAUGUUUCGGGUACCGCCUCGGUUUAAAUUUCUUGGAACAGAAUGUCAAAGAGGGUGAGAAUCCCGUCUUGGACCGGCGGUAGGGCCCAUGUGAAACUCCUUCGACGAGUCGAGUUGUUUGGGAAUGCAGCUCAAAAUGGGUGGUAAAUUUCAUCUAAAGCUAAAUAUUGGCCAGAGACCGAUAGCGCACAAGUAGAGUGAUCGAAAGAUGAAAAGCACUUUGAAAAGAGAGUUAAACAGUAUGUGAAAUUGUUGAAAGGGAAGCGCUUACAACCAGACUUGCGCGCGGCGGUUCCCCCUUCCUUUUGGUUGGGCUACUCCGUCGUGUCCAGGCCAACAUCGGUUCUGGGGGUCGGUUAAAGACCCUGGGAAUGUAUCUACCCUUCGGGCGUAGACUUAUAGCUCAGGGUGUCAUGCGACCUCCCGGGACCGAGGAACGCGCUUCGGCUCGGAUGUUGGCGUAAUGGUUG
Molecule: ribosomal RNA, 551 nt
Filed under: Exophiala equina
Lineage: Eukaryota; Fungi; Ascomycota; Eurotiomycetes; Chaetothyriales; Herpotrichiellaceae
Description: partial large subunit ribosomal RNA
Rfam family: Eukaryotic large subunit ribosomal RNA
Source: RNAcentral